UACGAAGGGGGCUAGCGUUGCUCGGAAUCACUGGGCGUAAAGGGUGCGUAGGCGGGUUUUUAAGUCAGAGGUGAAAUCCUGGAGCUCAACUCCAGAACUGCCUUUGAUACUGGGAAUCUUGAGUAUGGGAGAGGUGAGUGGAACUGCGAGUGUAGAGGUGAAAUUCGUAGAUAUUCGCAAGAACACCAGUGGCGAAGGCGGCUCACUGGCCCAUAACUGACGCUGAGGCACGAAAGCGUGGGGAGCAAACAGG
This 253-nucleotide ribosomal RNA is filed under the name uncultured bacterium. RNAcentral's name for it is "partial 16S ribosomal RNA". It matches the Rfam family "Bacterial small subunit ribosomal RNA", at positions 524 to 776 of the family's 1533-position model. The record is from RNAcentral.